This 1656-nucleotide ribosomal RNA is filed under the name Triticum aestivum (bread wheat). RNAcentral describes it as "partial small subunit ribosomal RNA". The record is from RNAcentral. Lineage: Eukaryota; Viridiplantae; Streptophyta; Magnoliopsida; Poales; Poaceae.
AUGGCCAUGGCGCAAGGACAAGGGUCGCGGGCCACGAGGGAGGCCGUGCCUCCGGUGUCUCGUGUGGCCAUCAUCGGUGGUGGGAUCAGCGGCCUGGCCGCGGCCAAGCAGAUGGCGGCCUACGACCCCGUCGUGUUCGAGGCGACGCCGUCCGUCGGCGGAGUGUGGAAGCACUGCGUCUACCGCACCACGCGGCUGCAGACGCCCCGCCCGGACUACGAGUUCUCCGACUACUCCUGGAAGAACCGCGACGACCCUUCGUUCCCGACCCACACCGAGAUCGUCGACUACCUCGAGGGCUACGCCGACGAGUUCGACCUCUGGCGCUACAUCUCGUUUGGGUCCAAGGUGGUGGACAUCAAGUUCCUCGGCGGCGCCCAAGCCGGGUUCACCGAGCUGUGGAGCGGCACCGGCAAGGAUCCGCUCCGUGGCAAGCCCAUGUGGGAGGUCGGCAUCGUCACCGGCGACUCGAACACCGUUCAGUAUUACAAGUUCGAGUUCGUGGUGAUGUGCACGGGGAAGUACGGCGACGUGCCGCGGAUGCCGGUGUUCCCGCCGGGGAAGGGGCCGGAGGUGUUCAAGGGGACGGUGAUGCACUCGCUGGACUACUGCAAGCUGAGCGAGGAGGAGACCGUUGAGCUGAUGCGAGGCAAGAAGGUUGUGGUGGUUGGGUACAAGAAGAGCGCUAUCGAUCUAGCCAACGAAUGUGCUCAGGCAAACCAAGGCGAGGGAGGGCAGGCGUGCACGAUGCUGGUACGGACCUUGCACUGGGUGGUGCCAUCGUACUCCAUCUGGGGCUUGCCAUUCUCCAUGUUCUACUCCACACGCUUGUCUCAGCUCUUCUACGAGCGGCCCAACCAAGGGUUCUUCCGAUCCCUCGUCUGCCGCCUCAUGAGCCCACUGACCAUGCAUGCAUAUCACAAUCUGACAGCAACGUCUUGUUCUUUGAACUUUUGUGGUCCAGCGGUCAGGGGUGUCGAAGUUCAUCGAGUCGUACCUGUCGUGGAAGCUGCCGCUGGGAAAGUACGGUCUGACGCCGGACCACCCCUUCUAGAGGACUACGCCAGCUGCCAGAUGGCCAUCCUCCCGGAGGGCUUCUUCGACAUGGCGGACCGCGGCCUCGUCCGCUUCAAGAGGGCCUCCACCGGGUGGUGCUUCUCGGAGAACGGCGUGGUCCUCGACGACGGCACCAAGGUGGAGGCCGACCUCGUCUUCCUCGCCACCGGCUUCGAGGGCAAGGAGAAGCUCCGCGAGGUCCUGCCAAAGCCCUUCCGCGACCUCGUCGUCGGCAAGUCUUCCAUGAUGCCGCUCUACCGUGGCACGAUCCACCCGCUGAUCCCGAACAUGGCUUUCGUGGGGUUCGUGGAGAGCGUGUCGAACCUGCACACGUCGGAGCUGCGGUGCCGGUGGCUGUCGGGGCUGCUGGAGGGGCGGUUCGAGCUGCCGAGCGUGAAGGCCAUGAUGGGGCACGUCGCCGGCGAGGCCGACGCCAUGCGCCGCACCACGCGGUUCUACCGCCGCCACUGCAUCUCCACCUACAGCAUCCACGACAGCGACGGCAUGUGCGCCGACCUGGGCUCCGCCACGCUCCGCAAGGCCAACUGGAUCGCCGAGCUCUUCGCGCCAUACAACAACAAGGACUACAAGGAGCAGUAA